This 1315-nucleotide long non-coding RNA is filed under the name Numida meleagris (helmeted guineafowl). RNAcentral describes it as "lncRNA (ENSNMEG00000013475.1)". The record is from RNAcentral. Lineage: Eukaryota; Metazoa; Chordata; Aves; Galliformes; Numididae.
GUUGGGUUUAUUGUUUGGAAAAAAAUGGAAGUUUUAGACCACAGAUAAAAUAUUUUGGUUGAAAAGCAAUUUUUGGUUAAAAAUAUGUGGAGGAAAACAAUUCAAACACCUCUAAUUGAAUUUUGACUUGUUACUUUUAUUGCAGUGACAUCUAUACCACAUCAUAUAAGAUGGUGUAGAAAUACAGAAUGUAAAUAUGUCUGGUAGAGUAAUGCACCAGUGCUUGUAAAAGUCAAGGCGCAGAUGAGAGAAAAAGAUCUGUUGAUUUAUUCAUCCCUCUUUUUAUUUCAUCUUUGUUCAUCACGGGAAGGAAUCUGCCAAAUGGAAAAAGGAAGAUCUCUUUGAGAGCAAAAUAGAGUUUUCAAGCUUCCUCGAACCACGUACUGUGAAUAGAAAGUAUGUAUCAAGCUAGGGAAAAAAACAGGAACCUGUCAGUACCUCCUUCCCAUGUUCUAUUAGAAUCUGUUCACAGAAUAACAGCACUUUUUUUACACCAUGCUCUACUUUCAUCUUUCCUCUUAAGCUUUUUGGAGCACCACUACCCUCAGCUGCUCUAACACCAGCAUGAGGUGUGAAGGGGACCAUCGCUCAUUGCAGUCGCUCUGCAGAUAGCAGUGUUGCCCAUUUGCGUGACAAGUGAAGCUGUGCAACCCUUUAAGGCUUAAAUUCUGCAUCUCAGCAGCCAAAAUGUGUGGCUAAUGAAUCCCCAUUGCCGGCAAAGGGUGCGUAGGAUUGGGAUUCUCAGCCCACAGGAUGAACCGAGAAGUGGAAGGUGGAGAUGGUGGCUGAAGUCUGCCAAGAUUCAGAGGAGCGCAGCAGCGUGCCAGACCUUCUCUGGAUCUGAGCGUAUCAGCUUGAUGUUCAGAAAGGUUCUGAAAUCCAACAUUAAAAAACUGAACAAAGACAGUCGCAGAGGACUACACUGAGGAGGACAAAAUCAAAAGCACAGCCACAAAAUGCCACUGCAGAUAAAGAUCUAGUGAUUAAUGAGGGCCAUGAAUGAGUCAAUAGUGUGAUGUCGUUGAGGAAAAGAGAUAAACGUAAUUCUAGAUUCUCUUGAAUCGUCUGCUAGCAACACUAUAUGUAAGACAGGAGAUAAUUAGCAUGCUCUUCUUGGCACUGGUGAGGACUCAGCUAGAAUACCGUAUUUUAAUCUGAGGCAGCAGAAUUUAACAAGGAUGUAGAUAAACUGGAAACAGAGAAAAUCAGCAGAGAAAAUCAACAAGGACAUGGUUUGGAGUAACUGGAUUCCUAUAGAAAAAUUGAAAGAUUAUUUGUUUUAAUAUAGAAAAUUAAAGGUUAUGUGGGAUUCAAC